CACAACUCUUUCUCUGAGUAAUCCAGAAAGCCUAGUCCCAGCUAUGGGCUUAAGCUUUCUCACAGCUCAAUAGCUGAGUGGCAGCACAAUGCAGCCAGGACAUUUGGAAAUCACAUCACCAUAGACCCCAUUAUGCACACCACUCUACACCCUGCCAAUCUUUUCCAAGAUCCAGGUGCUGUGUGCAUGGGCUUAGCCACAAGGUCUGAACUGAGACAUGCCAGCAGGAUGACAAGCUCCAGGGACAGCACUUCAAUCUUUGCUAGCACAAUUCCUGGCCCAGUGGAAUUCAUGGGAACUGGGGCUCCUAAGGGUGGAGGGAACUUUGGGUUUAGCAUACCUACCCCAGGCUCCAGGUCAAAUUUCAGAGCUCACUGUCAACCAGGCUGGAUCUAAGGCAAACCUGUGUGAAGUGCGGAGGAGAACUUUGUGGACACUCAGCUUGACCGGCCUGGCUUGUCAGCUACCUUGGCUAAUGGAAGCUCUGGUCCAUUUUCCCUGGCCUUGGACCUGGUUAGGGUGUCCUCUGCUAGUGACAGGGGCUCCCUUUCCCUCAUCUGUUUGCCUCAAUAGCCAUCCUCUUUCCCCAGUGAUGUACAUACAAUCCUAUUUUUUCUAGUUCAUCUGUGUCUGUUCAUGUGUCUUUCUUGUUCUUUGACUACACAGUGGAGGAAGAAG
RNAcentral lists this long non-coding RNA (678 nucleotides) under Marmota monax (woodchuck). Lineage: Eukaryota; Metazoa; Chordata; Mammalia; Rodentia; Sciuridae. The record is from RNAcentral.